Pelodiscus sinensis (Chinese soft-shelled turtle) is the source of this 104-nucleotide microRNA precursor. The record is from Ensembl. NCBI's taxonomy places the organism in Eukaryota, Metazoa, Chordata, Testudines, Trionychidae.
CUGAGUCACCUCCAUGGCUCCAGAAAUCAAGAAUGGGUGAGACCUCGUAAGAAAACAUGAAGGCGACCCAUACUUGGUUUCAGGGGCUGUGAGGAUACAGUCAG